This is a non-coding RNA of Equus caballus (horse), 693 nucleotides long. Lineage: Eukaryota; Metazoa; Chordata; Mammalia; Perissodactyla; Equidae. The record is from the annotation of a RefSeq genome assembly.
UUUACAGCCUGUGGCAUGAUUUUGGAGGACAGUUUUUCUUGCUUCACACAGGAGCCAAGAUUUUCUAGAAGAUCCCACGAAAGGAUCAAGAAAAUAGAGGAACAACCCUCUCAGCUUUGGUGUAUUCCCAAACAAAAUCUGCUGCUGUUUCUCCCCAGCCAUGCUGUCGCCCCCUGCUCAGGACUUGUGAUCUUGUUGAUGUUGAGAGGGACUGAUGGAGACUCGGUGACCCAGAGAGAAGGCCCUGUUAUCCUGCCCGAGGGGGCACCUCUGACCCUGAACUGCACCUACCAGAGCAUCUAUUCAGUUUUCCUUUUCUGGUAUGUCCAGUAUCAAAACAAAGAGCCUGAGCUCCUCCUGAAAAGCUCAUCAGAAAACCAGGAGGAGGACAGCAGAGGUUUUCAGGCCAAGUUUGUUAAGAGUGACAGCUCCUUCCACCUGCAGAAAGCCUCAGUGCAAGUGUCAGACUCGGCCGUGUACUACUGCGCUCUGAGAGACACAGUGAGGGGGACUCAGGGGGAGCUGAGCACAAACCCAGAGGGUGCAGGUGGGCCUGGCUGUGGCAGCCCUGGGAGGGGUGUUCCCUUCUCUCCAGUGUCGUGUGCUGGAGGCUUCCUCACAGUACUUCCAGCUCUGAUGCCUCAGAGCCAAGGAGCCUUGGAAUUCUUGGAUGAGUCUGCAGAGAGGAAUUAG